Molecule: ribosomal RNA, 253 nt
Filed under: uncultured bacterium
Lineage: Bacteria
Description: partial 16S ribosomal RNA
Rfam family: Bacterial small subunit ribosomal RNA
Source: RNAcentral
UACGUAGGGUGCAAGCGUUAAUCGGAAUUACUGGGCGUAAAGCGUGCGCAGGCGGUUUUUCAAGACAGAUGUGAAAUCCCCGGGCUUAACCUGGGAAUGGCAUUUGUGACUGGAAGGCUAGAGUGUGUCAGAGGGGGGUAGAAUUCCACGUGUAGCAGUGAAAUGCGUAGAGAUGUGGAGGAAUACCGAUGGCGAAGGCAGCCCCCUGGGUCAAGAUUGACGCACAUGCACGAAAGCGUGGGGAGCAAACAGG